UGAGAUGGUGUUUAUUAAUUAGUGUGUGUGAGGUGUAUAUAUGGUCAGUAGUGAGAUGGUGUUUAUUAAUUAGUGUGUGUGAGGUGUAUAUAUGGUCAGUAGUGAGAUGGUGUUUAUUAAUUAGUGUGUGAGGUGUAUAUAUGGUCAGUAGUGAGAUGGUGUUUAUUAAUUAGUGUGUGUGAGGUGUAUAUAUGGUCAGUAGUGAGAUGGUGUUUAUUAAUUAGUGUGUGUGAGGUGUAUAUAUGGUCAGUAGUGUGAUGGUGUUUAUUAAUUAGUGUGUGUGAGGUGUAUAUAUGGUCAGUAGUGUGAUGGUGUUUAUUAAUUAGUGUGUGUAAGGUGUAUAUAUGGUCAGUAGUGUGAUGGUGUUUAUUAAUUAGUGUGUGUGAGGUGUAUAUAUGGUCAGUAGUGAGAUGGUGUUUAUUAAUUAGUGUGUGUGAGGUGUAUAUAUGGUCAGUAGUGAGAUGGUGUUUAUUAAUUAGUGUGUGUAAGGUGUAUAUAUGGUCAGUAGUGAGAUGGUGUUUAUUAAUUAGUGUGUGAGGUGUAUAUAUGGUCAGUAGUGAGAUGGUGUUUAUUAAUUAGUGUGUGUAAGGUGUAUAUAUGGUCAGUAGUGAGAUGGUGUUUAUUAAUUAGUGUGUGAGGUGUAUAUAUGGUCAGUAGUGAGAUGGUGUUUAUUAAUUAGUGUGUAAGGUGUAUAUAUGGUCAGUAGUGAGAUGGUGUUUAUUAAUUAGUGUGUGUCAGGUGUAUAUAUGGUCAGUAGUGAGAUGGUGUUUAUUAAUUAGUGUGUAAGGUGUAUAUAUGGUCAGUAGUGUGAUGGUGUUUAUUAAUUAGUGUGUAAGGUGUAUAUAUGGUCAGUAGUGAGAUGGUGUUUAUUAAUUAGUGUGUGUUAGGUGUAUAUAUGGUCAGUAGUGAGAUGGUGUUUAUUAAUUAGUGUGUGUCAGGUGUAUGUAUGGUCAGUAGUGAGAUGGUGUUUAUUAAUUAGUGUGUGUAAGGUGUAUAUAUGGUCAGUAGUGCGAUGGUGUUUAUUAAUUAGUGUGUGUUAGGUGUAUAUAUGGUCAGUAGUGUGAUGGUGUUUAUUAAUUAGUGUGUGUAAGGUGUAUAUAUGGUCAGUAGUGCGAUGGUGUUUAUUAAUUAGUGUGUGUCAGGUGUAUAUAUGGUCAGUAGUGUGAUGGUGUUUAUUAAUUAGUGUGUGUAAGGUGUAUAUAUGGUCAGUAGUGCGAUGGUGUUUAUUAAUUAGUGUGUGUAAGGUGUAUAUAUGGUCAGUAGUGAGAUGGUGUUUACUAAUUAGUGUG
This is a long non-coding RNA of Oncorhynchus keta (chum salmon), 1289 nucleotides long. RefSeq lists it as uncharacterized. NCBI's taxonomy places the organism in Eukaryota, Metazoa, Chordata, Actinopteri, Salmoniformes, Salmonidae. The transcript is spliced from 5 exons. The record is from RefSeq and is a predicted model, not a curated record.